Molecule: ribosomal RNA, 524 nt
Filed under: uncultured bacterium
Lineage: Bacteria
Description: partial 16S ribosomal RNA
Rfam family: Bacterial small subunit ribosomal RNA
Source: RNAcentral
GACGAACGCUGGCGGCGUGCCUAAUACAUGCAAGUUGAGCGCAGGAAGCUGACGGAACUCUUCGGAGGGAAGGCAGUGGAAUGAGCGGCGGACGGGUGAGUAACACGUAAGGAACCUGCCUCAAGGAUUGGGAUAACUCCGAGAAAUCGGAGCUAAUACCGGAUAGUUCAACGGACCGCAUGGUCCGCUGAUGAAAGGCGCUCCGGCGUCACCUUGAGAUGGCCUUGCGGUGCAUUAGCUAGUUGGUGGGGUAACGGCUCACCAAGGCGACGGUGCAUAGCCGACCUGCGAGGGUGAUCGGCCACACUGGGACUGAGACACGGCCCAGACUCCUACGGGAGGCAGCAGUAGGGAAUCUUCCACAAUGGACGAAAGUCUGAUGGAGCAACGCCGCGUGAGUGAUGAAGGUUUUCGGAUCGUAAAACUCUGUUGUAAGGGAAGAACACGUACGAGAGGAAAUGCUCGUACCUUGACGGUACCUUACGAGAAAGCCACGGCUAACUACGUGCCAGCCGCCGCGGUAA